This 76-nucleotide transfer RNA is filed under the name Yoonia sp. Its description in RNAcentral is "tRNA-Trp". It matches the Rfam family "tRNA". Rfam says of the family: Transfer RNA (tRNA) molecules are approximately 80 nucleotides in length. Their secondary structure includes four short double-helical elements and three loops (D, anti-codon, and T loops). Lineage: Bacteria; Pseudomonadati; Pseudomonadota; Alphaproteobacteria; Rhodobacterales; Paracoccaceae. The record is from RNAcentral.
AGGGGUGUAGCUCAGUUGGUAGAGCGACGGUCUCCAAAACCGUAGGUCUGGAGUUCAAGCCUCCACGCCCCUGCCA